Molecule: ribosomal RNA, 253 nt
Filed under: uncultured bacterium
Lineage: Bacteria
Description: partial 16S ribosomal RNA
Rfam family: Bacterial small subunit ribosomal RNA
Source: RNAcentral
UACGUAGGGUGCAAGCGUUGUCCGGAAUUAUUGGGCGUAAAGAGCUCGUAGGCGGUCUGUCGCGUCGGCUGUGAAAACUCGGGGCUCAACUCCGAGCUUGCAGUCGAUACGGGCAGGCUAGAGUUCGGCAGGGGAGACUGGAAUUCCUGGUGUAGCGGUGAAAUGCGCAGAUAUCAGGAGGAACACCGGUGGCGAAGGCGGGUCUCUGGGCCGUUACUGACGCUGAGGAGCGAAAGCGUGGGGAGCGAACAGG